This 382-nucleotide ribosomal RNA is filed under the name uncultured eukaryote. RNAcentral describes it as "partial 18S ribosomal RNA". It matches the Rfam family "Eukaryotic small subunit ribosomal RNA", at positions 592 to 976 of the family's 1831-position model. The record is from RNAcentral.
UGUAAGCGUAUACCAAAGUUGUUGCAGUUAAAACGCUCGUAGUCGGACUUUGGAAGUUCCGGAUGUGUGCACGUCGUGUGCGCACUUCGCGGGGAUUGCUUUUGUGGUCUUGCGUAGGAUGAGGCACUUUUAUUAGUGAACGUCCUCACGCAACCACUUUUUACUGUGAGAAAAUCAGAGUGCUCAAAGCAGGCAUUUGCCGUGAAUGUAUUAGCAUGGAAUAAUAGAAUAGGACUUGGUUCUAUUUUGUUGGUUUGUUGGGACUGAGUAAUGAUUAAGAGGGACAGUUGGGGGCAUUUGUAUUUCGGUGCUAGAGGUGAAAUUCUUAGAUUACCGAAAGACAAACUGCUGCGAAAGCGUCUGCCAAGGAUGUUUUCAUUGA